GAUGAACGCUGGCGGCGUGCCUAAUACAUGCAAGUCGAGCGAACAGACGAGGAGCUUGCUCCUCUGACGUUAGCGGCGGACGGGUGAGUAACACGUGGAUAACCUACCUAUAAGACUGGGAUAACUUCGGGAAACCGGAGCUAAUACCGGAUAAUAUAUUGAACCGCAUGGUUCAAUAGUGAAAGACGGUUUUGCUGUCACUUAUAGAUGGAUCCGCGCCGCAUUAGCUAGUUGGUAAGGUAACGGCUUACCAAGGCAACGAUGCGUAGCCGACCUGAGAGGGUGAUCGGCCACACUGGAACUGAGACACGGUCCAGACUCCUACGGGAGGCAGCAGUAGGGAAUCUUCCGCAAUGGGCGAAAGCCUGACGGAGCAACGCCGCGUGAGUGAUGAAGGUCUUCGGAUCGUAAAACUCUGUUAUUAGGGAAGAACAAAUGUGUAAGUAGCUAUGCACGUCUUGACGGUACCUAAUCAGAAAGCCACGGCUAACUACGU
RNAcentral lists this ribosomal RNA (496 nucleotides) under uncultured bacterium. Its description in RNAcentral is "partial 16S ribosomal RNA". It matches the Rfam family "Bacterial small subunit ribosomal RNA", at positions 28 to 506 of the family's 1533-position model. The record is from RNAcentral.